This is a long non-coding RNA of Saccostrea cuccullata (small rock oyster), 4660 nucleotides long. RefSeq lists it as uncharacterized. The transcript has 3 exons. The record is from RefSeq and is a predicted model, not a curated record. NCBI's taxonomy places the organism in Eukaryota, Metazoa, Mollusca, Bivalvia, Ostreida, Ostreidae.
AGCCUCGUUUUCGGUCACAACACGAUCCCCCUGCAGUUCUAUUUUUAUGGCACUGCUCCUGGGUUUGGCGCUCCACUCAUAUUUACUUACAUCAUUUUGGCAAUUCCAAGUAUAUAUUUAAAGAGAAAUGAAAAUGAAUUCAAUGAAUCCAGCACCAAUUGUUAAGUGUUAAUUUUUUGGAAGUAUUCAAGAAUUUUGAUGAAAUAUGGAUCAUGAUACACAAAGAGACAUAAAAAAAAUGCUUUUAUAUAAACCUGGUAGAAACGAAAAAAAAAUGUCCGAUUUAUUAUAUGGAUGAUAUUUAAAAUGUGUUUUUGACAUGAUUCCCUUUUAAAAAAUGAAAAUACCAUUUUGUAUUUCAAUCCGCUAAUUUGUUCACACAAGUUCUGCUUUAAGGGCAGAAGAGAGGGAAAACUGACAAUACAUCGUAAUAAAUGAGAAUUGAAUUGAGAUUAGCUGAUUUCAGAGAGAUUUCAGUGACAAUGACGUAAUCACCCUUUUCUGGUUUUUAGUUUCCAGGGUUUCAGCCGGCUAAGAAUGCAUAACAAAGGCGGAUCUCCCGUAGCGUUUGUAGAAUUUCAGGAUGUGAGACAAGCUGCCGAGGCUAUGGGGCGGCUACAGGGCUUCGUCCUUCUUUCUUCAGAUCGAGGCGGAAUCCGCAUCGAGUAUGCUAAAAAUAAAAUGGGGGAGGUGGUGAGUGGACUUUAAUGUUUCCCCACCCACCUACCGAUAAUAUGCAAGGAAAGAAGGACGAAGCACUCGGUCAAUCCCCAGUGGGCGUGACAACGAUUUUCUCAUGAAUAUUCAUAUGGUUGUGUUUUCAUAGGAACACCUUUUUUUCUCUCUUGUCUACUUGAGGACCCUCGUCUGUGAUGAUGGAGAUGUAACAUUUUAUUUGGAGUAAAUUUUUUUUCAUUCUUUGAUAAAAAUCAACGUCUCAUAAUGUUUGAUUGAUUGUUUUUUUGUCAUUUUAUUUAUACUAUAUAUAGUAACGGAGGUUUUUUUUCGGUAUAUCUGUUUAUCAAUGAGAUAUUAUACAUAUAAUUAUAUGCGUAUACAAUAUGUUUCUUGACAUUGUAGAUAAUUCAUGUUACUUAAUGUUUAUUGUAUAUUUGAUAUUAUCUAUGUAAUGAAAUUGAACGCAUAUUUAUAUAUAUGCAUAAAUUAAUAGAUUGAUGGUGAUUGGAGAGUCAAGGUCAGCUGAUGUCAACGUCACAAGAUAUGUGAUCCAACAAAACAUCACAAAAUCUGAGUCUUGAAUACAUUAAGAAUGCUCAUUAUAUACUGAUUGAAGCUAAUCUAAAAAGACACUAUUUUGAAUUCAAAAGAGAAUUGAUUUGUUAAUUUCCAGUCUCUACCAUGUCUCACAUAGAUGAAGAAUGUUGAGGAAUCGUUGUUGAACACGUGACAUGACGUCAGCUGAUCUACUUUUGUUGGCAUUUUGACCCUCUGGGUGUGUGUGUCAGGUUUAUUAUAACGUAUUCAUUAUUUUGCUGUGAUGUAAGGUUAUUUAUUAUUGAUGUUUACAUUUUUGUCAAUUUCCCAGGGAGUUUUUAAAUCAUGUUUCCCCCUGUUCUUUCUUCGUCAGAAUUGUCAAUUUUAUUGACCUUAUGGAUUUCCUGUGAACAAAUCAUUUUUAAAAUCUGGGAACCCCAAACUGAUUUUUUUUCAUCAUUGAGCUGCUAAAAGUUAAGAUAUAAAUAAAACAUAACGUGCAUCACAAGAGCUUAAUUUAAAAAAUGCAUGUUAUAUUCAUACAAAUCCAUUUUUUUCACUGAAAAUUUGUAAAUUCAUAACAUUAACAAAGUUUCAGGUCAUAAAAAGUUCAAUUGGACAUGUUUAAAAACCAUCUGAAGUAGAAUAUCAGAUUUUUUAAAAAUAAAUUACCAUCAAGCAAGAAACUCGACUAAUUAGAGUAAUAGUAAGUACAGUAAAACUUUGUCAUAAGGGAAUAACUGGAACUUCUCGAAGUUUGCUUCCUUAAUUCCUGGUAAGGAUUAAAAUAAAUAUCAUUAAAGUAUCUUAUCAAACGAGCUAUCGUAAUAAGAGGUUUCCUUUUAAGCAGAUUAGCUAUAUUAUAACAGACUUCAGAUGAACAAAGUAAUAAAAACGCGUCCGUCCAUGCAUCUCAGACAUAUCUUACAAUAGAGUUGUCUUUUUAUCAGCACAAAACACGGUCAUUUAAGCUGUAGAGUAUAUGAUGUAUCUUUUUUUUUUAUAUUCCACUUUUGUUCCCUCAUUUUAUUUUUCGUUUUUUUUUUUAGCUUUGGACUGUCAAAUAAAAAAAAAAUAAAUGAAAUUUUAAUCACAUUCGUUAAGGUAUUCUGCACCUGUGUUUUAAACGCAUAACUGUGUUCGAGUCAUUUGAUCUCAAAAUUGCUACUUGUAAUGUUCUCAGAGAAGUAAAAUACGACAGAUUUUUGGGUCAUUAACCCCCUGUGAAUUGUUCUUCAACAGCAAUAUUGUGUAGACUGCUAAACUGCACCGAUGCACUUGUUAAAGAAAUCAAACAAGAUCACGUGAUUGUAACCCCAACCCGUGUUUUAAAUAUAAAUCGGCACAUCCCUUAGAAUUUUUUAAAUAACAAAAUGACACAGUCCAGCAAAAACACAUAUUUUCUUUUCUUUUUUCUGAGUUCAUCAUUCAAGGUUUCACUUACCAACGAGGAUUGUACAGAAAGUUAACAUUCCAUUUUAAGCCAAUUUCCCCCUUUUACACCAUGACAUUGGAUGAACACUUCCUAAAGGUAUCUAGAUAUAUUUCCCAGACUUUGUUCUUACGUCACAACACUGUUGCGUCAUACUACUUUUAUAACGUCACAGUUCACUGUAAGAUUUGUUCCGUUGUUUUGUUUUUUUUUUCUAAAUCGCACCUUCAGUAAAAAUACACCCUUUUUAGUUGAGCUUGUCUACUGAAAUUAAUAAUCUGUGUAUUAUUUUAUUUAUGAUAAAUAAUAGUAAUUUAUUGUGUGUUUUAAAAUUACAUGUCGGUAGGCUAGAGUUAUGGAAUUAAUAUGGAGUUUUCGCAAAAAGUCGACAAAUAUGCAAAUGUUUCUAAAUUUAUGUUGUUGAUUCGUAAUAGUGCUGUAGAAUUGAUGAAUGGAAUGUGUGAUUGUUAUUAUUAUAAUGUUGUAUGUAUCUAUUUGCGUGUUGACCAAUAGGAUCACUUGUUACGAAAUAAUGCUUAUUAUCAAUUUUAUAUAUAUUGCUUAUAUGAAUUUUGAUUGUCUGUCUCAUAUUAAUGUGUUACUACGAAAUCCAGUGAUUAAUCAUUGAGGAUUGACCAAUCAAAUAUAACACCUAAAUUGAUUGACCAAUCAAAUAACUUGUUUUAGAUGUGGUUGAUUUGAUUGACCAAUCAAGGAAAGAUUAUAGACAAGGCUAAAUCUACUUUGAGCAUAAUCAUACCUUAGUUUAUAGAGGGCUAUAGUCUUGUUACACAGGGUAUAAAAAUCUAGGUAUUGCUCCAUGGACAUUUCACAAUCAACUUCAACUUGCGAUCAAAUUUUCUGCUCUUUAUAAGUGUUAAAUACUCAUUACUUUUUGCAAUAUCUGUAUGAUCAGGCCACACAAUUUUUUUUUUAUUGAAAGAUAGAACAAAGGGAGGUAAUAAUCGAAAUAUCAAAAAACAAGGGUUGUACCAGGGAAUUUAUUAUAUGCAGAGCCCCUUAAAAUGCAAAUUAUUCUAUGCAGUAGUUGAUUCAAAGUUUUGUAUAGUAUCGGUAAAAAUAUGUCUUGAAAUUCGAAAAUUCACCGACUCUGUAGUUUAAAUUGCAAACAAUAGAAUGUGAAGGAUUUGUGAAUUUACAGGGUAUCUGUUUUUAUUUCACCUUUUUGCGAGAAUUGCAAUCCAGGAAUAAGAUUUCUGAACUGUUAGGUAAAAUUUUAGUUAAAAACUAUAAUCUUUUGAAUUCGGAUAAAUUCUUUUUUAUUUCACUACAAUGAAUUUUUUUAUAUUUUGGAAAAAUGAAUUUUAUGUAAAUGGAAGUAUGAAAUACUUUGCUUCCUCCUCAAACAUUUUAACUUUAAACUGAUAAUUAUAACAUACAAGAAACACUGUUCGUAUGCAAUAUUCGUUUUUACAGAAAUAUGUAGUGACAUUAGCUAUAGUCAAUUUCAUUCUAUUUGUGUAUGACGUCAUUGGUAGUGGGUUUUAUGUAGACUUUUUGUGUCUGAAGGACGUUAAAACUUUCAAGGUCACGCCAGGGUAGUCCUGAUGCUUUAGUCUAUUUUUAGAUAAUGAACAAAAUACAAAAUGUAGCAUUUGGUCAGUUAUGUCACAACACAGUUCUGUUUCCAUCGUAACUCUUUUUUCUUUAUAGCCACAUGCAGUGCAAUGACUGUUGUUUUGCUCAAGAACUUUAUUUAAUAGAAAUGUGUUAUAACUUUAGAAAAUAUUGUAAGUGGGACAUUUUACUAAUACUUUACUUGUGGAAUCUUCUAUAGAUUAGACGAAAGGGCAUUAUAAUGCUAUCUUAACAUCGAAAUAGUCAUGUUCUAUUUUCCCAUGAUGCUUUGAUUUCCCACAUUGCAAUAGACAGGAAGUUUUCUAAAGUAUUAGUGUUACGCCAUUGAUGUACAUCGUAGUUUUUGGGUCACGUGACUCUAUUUAUGUAAAUUAUAUCAUACAUGUCUUUACAUGGAAUAAACGACCAACGUCA